GUGUUUACCGUGGGGUCUUGAU
This 22-nucleotide microRNA is filed under the name Gyrodactylus salaris (gyrodactylosis fluke). Its description in RNAcentral is "gsa-miR-124b-5p". Its record names the gene gsa-miR-124b-5p. The record is from miRBase by way of RNAcentral. Lineage: Eukaryota; Metazoa; Platyhelminthes; Monogenea; Gyrodactylidea; Gyrodactylidae.